This 67-nucleotide transfer RNA is filed under the name Petillopsis calcar. RNAcentral's name for it is "tRNA-Phe". Lineage: Eukaryota; Metazoa; Arthropoda; Insecta; Hemiptera; Coreidae. The record is from RNAcentral.
GUUUGGGUAACUUAAAUUAAAGUUUAAUAUUGAAGCUAUUAAUAUAAGAGUUAUCUCUUUCCAGACA